RNAcentral lists this ribosomal RNA (440 nucleotides) under uncultured bacterium. RNAcentral's name for it is "partial 16S ribosomal RNA". It matches the Rfam family "Bacterial small subunit ribosomal RNA", at positions 338 to 795 of the family's 1533-position model. The record is from RNAcentral.
CCUACGGGUGGCAGCAGUGGGGAAUAUUGGACAAUGGGGGAAACCCUGAUCCAGCGACGCCGCGUGAGUGAAGAAGUAUUUCGGUACGUAAAGCUCUAUCAGCAGGAAAGAAAAUGACGGUACCUGACUAAGAAGCCCCGGCUAACUACGUGCCAGCAGCCGCGGUAAUACGUAGGGGGCAAGCGUUAUCCGGAUUUACUGGGUGUAAAGGGAGCGUAGACGGCAGCGCAAGUCUGGAGUGAAAUGCCGGGGCCCAACCCCGGAACUGCUCUGGAAACUGGGAAGCUGGAGUGCAGGAGGGGGGGGGGGGGGGGGGGGGGGGGGGGGGGGGGGGGGUGAUAUCAGGAGGAACACCGGCGGCGAAGGCGGCUUACUGGACUGUAACUGACGUUGAGGCUCGAAGGCGUGGGGAGCAAACAGGAUUAGAUACCCCAGUAGUC